GAAUAUUGGACAAUGGGCGAAAGCCUGAUCCAGCAACGCCGCGUGAGGGAUGACGGCCUUCGGGUUGUAAAGCCCUUUUGCAGGGGAAGAUGAUGACGGUACCCUGCGAAUAAGCCACGGCUAACUACGUGCCAGCAGCCGCGGUAAUACGUAGGUGGCGAGCGUUGUCCGGAUUUACUGGGCGUAAAGGGCGUGCAGGCGGUCUGUUAAGUCUAGGGUGAAAGCUCCCGGCUCAACUGGGAGAGGUCCUUGGAUACUGGCGGACUUGAGGGAGGCAGAGGAAAGUGGAAUUCCCGGUGUAGUGGUGAUAUGCGUAGAUAUCGGGAGGAACACCAGUGGCGAAGGCGGCUUUCUGGGCCUUACCUGACGCUGAGACGCGAAAGCGUGGGGAGCGAACCGG
RNAcentral lists this ribosomal RNA (400 nucleotides) under uncultured bacterium. RNAcentral describes it as "bacterial SSU rRNA". It matches the Rfam family "Bacterial small subunit ribosomal RNA", at positions 359 to 776 of the family's 1533-position model. The record is from RNAcentral.